Molecule: RNA transcript, 2051 nt
Organism: Nelumbo nucifera (sacred lotus)
Lineage: Eukaryota; Viridiplantae; Streptophyta; Magnoliopsida; Proteales; Nelumbonaceae
Gene name: rust resistance kinase Lr10-like
Source: RefSeq, a predicted model, not a curated record
AGUCGCCUGGCGCCCAAACACCAUUGCGCGCAUAUCUCCUUUUUUUUUCCUUUCCUCUCGUCUUAUCUUCCUAAUAACAUGCCCUAAUCGAACUCAAAUGGGUAACAGGAUUCUUGUCAGUGACCUACGUUGAUUUAACUGCAUUGRAACUCAAACGGAAGCAGUCAGGGAAACGACACCUGUUCAUCGUCUUAACGGUUGGCGAUACUGAUUAAAUCUUCUAUACCUAUUUGCAGCCGAAGUAAAUAGAGCAUAGUUUUGCAUCCAUUCUCACUUUCAGAUCGCAAAACCCUCAAAGAGAGAAAUAGAGGAGAACGGUUCUGAACUACGAGAGAAAAGGUCACCUAUCUUUUUGGAAGAUUUACCUUCGUUUUUAGGUAGAUUUGCAAAGGAAACUUUGAUCUACCUUCGUUUUUAGGUAGAUCUACAUUCGUUUUCAGAGAGGCAACUCUAAUAUACCUUUGUUUUUAGAAAUUAUUGGCAUCUGUAAGCCUUGGCUUUAAACACAAAUUUUCCAGUGUCAGGUAAAAUCCUUCUCUUUAGUUCAUUCCUACUGUCUUAUGAUGAAGUUUGUCAUGAAUGGAUGGAUGAUGAGAGGGAGGUACUCUCGGACAUUAGGGGUGGAAUGGAUGAAUGAAUGCAUACACUGGAGUGCUUUUUUCUUUACCGGUGACCUUACUCCUGAACCUAUUCCCCGUAACCAUUGCAACCCACCACCGAAAGUGUUGCACUUAAAACAUAUCCGACCCUAACACGUCUCCCGGCUUUCCCCCAAUCUCUUUCUUUUAUUUCACUAGCCACAAACAGUAUUCCAGUGACUGGGAUAGCAUCAUGUGAAAGGACUAAAAUAUUCUUUUCGACAUGGAUAAUGCCCUGCUCUCCAUGAGGAUGAGUCCCUCCUUAGGUCCUUGGAGUUGGGUCUUAUUUGGAAUUGGCAAGGUUUGGACUUUGAGAAGCAUCUUUUGCUAUAAACUUAAGGAGAACACCAUUAUAACUUCUUCCAAGAAUCAGGUUUGAAUGCUUAGUUCAAUUGUUGACUUUUUGCAUCCCAACAAGUAUGAAUUUGUUGUUGGGUAGCCUUUCAUAAGACAAGGAAAACUACAAUACUAGCUGUUAUCCUAAUUAGGGUUCUUUUAGUAGAAGCACUCUUGACUGUUCCUAGGUUCUUAUCCUUUCAAAAUAAUAAUAAUAAUAAUAAUAAUAAUAGUAAUAAUAAUAAUAAUAUCAUGUCUUAAGGAACCAUUUGUGGUGUGCUUACUUAAGGCUAAGGGGCUGUUUGAUAACCAAAGUUUCCUAGUUGAAAGACUUGUAGCUUUGUCCUUUGAUGGAUAAAAUGAUUAAAUAAUAAAAUAUUCUAAGAGUAUAGUAGUCUAUUCAACUUCAGCUUCAGCCACUAGGGAUCCCACAAAACCUCUUUAAAAACUAAUUCACUAAAAGACAAAGCAGUAAGAUUUCACUUCAGCUGUUAUCAAAUGGUCCCUUAUAGUUCCAAGCCCAACAUCAGAGUAGACAUUUAGGACACCUUGAAGGUAGGUCAAUUUAUUAUUUCCAUUUUUUAUUUUCUUGGUAAAUUAAACCACAUUGGAGGGGGUAGUUCAGCAUUUCUACUUGUUUUAGAAAAGCACUUCAUGAUACAAUUAUUAUGAAUUUCUUCUGUUUUUUGAGCCAAUGAGUGAAGAUCAUUCUCAUCUACUCAUCCAUAUAUCCUUUUAAUUUAUAUUGUCAUUUGAAAGGCAACAGUUCAAAAUUUCUGAUUGAUCUUGCAUUGUGUACUUGAGACAAAGGGAAAGGGUAUAGAGGACAAUCUUUCUUUUUCCCCUAUAACAAUGUAUUGAAUGUAUUAUUGCAUACUUUUUGGAGGCUUAAUAGGAGCCCUAGACAUGCAACAGUAGUGUAGCACAAUUAACACAAGUAUAAUCAAGAUUCAAUAAAAACAGUAGUGUCGCCCAUGUUAUCAUUAACUGAACUCCAGCUUGAUUAUAACCAGUUGAAACCAGAUGUUCCCCCAUUCAUAUUUGAAUGUUCAAAGCUCAUUUUUCUAGACCUGUCAA